RNAcentral lists this ribosomal RNA (465 nucleotides) under uncultured bacterium. RNAcentral's name for it is "partial 16S ribosomal RNA". It matches the Rfam family "Bacterial small subunit ribosomal RNA", at positions 28 to 506 of the family's 1533-position model. The record is from RNAcentral.
GAUGAACGCUGGCGGCGUGCUUAACACAUGCAAGUCGAACGGAAAGGCUCCUGCUUGCAGGGGUACUCGAGUGGCGAACGGGUGAGUAACACGUGGGUGAUCUGCCCUGCACUUCGGGAUAAGCCUGGGAAACUGGGUCUAAUACCGGAUAGGACGAUGGUUUGGAUGCCAUUGUGGACAGUUUUUUCGGUGUGGGAUGAGCUCGCGGCCUAUCAGCUUGUUGGUGGGGUAAUGGCCUACCAAGGCGUUGACGGGUAUCCGGCCUGAGAGGGUGUACGGCCAGAUUGGGACGGAGAGAGGGCCCAGACUCCUACGGGAGGCAGCAGUGGGGAAGAUAGCACAAGGGGCGCAAGACUGAUGCAGGGACGCCGGGUGGGGGAAGACGGCCGUCGGGUUGUAAACUCCUUUCGCUAGGGACGAAGCGCAAGUGACGGUACCUGGAGAAGAAGCACCGGCUAACUACGU